Molecule: non-coding RNA, 185 nt
Filed under: Sedimentisphaerales bacterium
Lineage: Bacteria; Pseudomonadati; Planctomycetota; Phycisphaerae; Sedimentisphaerales
Description: 6S RNA
Rfam family: 6S / SsrS RNA
About the family: E. coli 6S RNA was the first non coding RNA to be sequenced, but its function was unknown until recently. It consists of 184 nucleotides that fold into an extended hairpin structure with a large single-stranded internal bulge. The 6S RNA specifically associates with RNA polymerase holoenzyme containing the sigma70 specificity factor.
Source: RNAcentral
CUACCCCUGCGGUGUACGCCAAGAAGGCACAGAUUUGAAAGAACCGAUACCCGUACUCAGGGGAAUCCUGCCUUGGUGGCGGCGAAUGCCUGGCAACAGGAAUCAAUGCCUCAAGUAAGGAUUGCCCACCUGGAUGUAAUGGGUUCCUUUCAACGAGCCCUUCUAGCGGCAAGCGCGGAGGUCAG